UGGAGGACCGAACCGACUAAUGUUGAAAAAUUAGCGGAUGACUUGUGGCUGGGGGUGAAAGGCCAAUCAAACCGGGAGAUAGCUGGUUCUCCCCGAAAGCUAUUUAGGUAGCGCCUCGUGAAUUCAUCUCCGGGGGUAGAGCACUGUUUCGGCUAGGGGGUCAUCCCGACUUACCAACCCGAUGCAAACUACGAAUACCGAAGAAUGUUAUCACGGGAGACACACGGCGGGUGCUAACGUCCGUCGUGAAGAGGGAAACAACCCAGACCGCCAGCUAAGGUCCCAAAGUCAUGGUUAAGUGGGAAACGAUGUGGGAAGGCACAGACAGCCAGGAUGUUGGCUUAGAAGCAGCCAUCAUUUAAAGAAAGCGUAAUAGCUCACUGGUCGAGUCGGCCUGCGCGGAAGAUGUAACGGGGCUAAACCAUGCACCGAAGCUGCGGCAGCGACACUAUGUGUUGUUGGGUAGGGGAGCGUUCUGUAAGCCUGUGAAGGUGGCCUGUGAGGGUUGCUGGAGGUAUCAGAAGUGCGAAUGCUGACAUAAGUAACGAUAAAGCGGGUGAAAAGCCCGCUCGCCGGAAGACCAAGGGUUCCUGUCCAACGUUAAUCGGGGCAGGGUGAGUCGACCCCUAAGGCGAGGCCGAAAGGCGUAGUCGAUGGGAAACAGGUUAAUAUUCCUGUACUUGGUGUUACUGCGAAGGGGGGACGGAGAAGGCUAUGUUGGCCGGGCGACGGUUGUCCCGGUUUAAGCGUGUAGGCUGGUUUUCCAGGCAAAUCCGGAAAAUCAAGGCUGAGGCGUGAUGACGAGGCACUACGGUGCUGAAGCGACAAAUGCCCUGCUUCCAGGAAAAGCCUCUAAGCAUCAGGUAACAUCAAAUCGUACCCCAAACCGACACAGGUGGUCAGGUAGAGAAUACCAAGGCGCUUGAGAGAACUCGGGUGAAGGAACUAGGCAAAAUGGUGCCGUAACUUCGGGAGAAGGCACGCUGAUAUGUAGGUGAAGCGACUUGCUCGUGGAGCUGAAAUCAGUCGAAGAUACCAGCUGGCUGCAACUGUUUAUUAAAAACACAGCACUGUGCAAACACGAAAGUGGACGUAUACGGUGUGACGCCUGCCCGGUGCCGGAAGGUUAAUUGAUGGGGUUAGCGGUAACGCGAAGCUCUUGAUCGAAGCCCCGGUAAACGGCGGCCGUAACUAUAACGGUCCUAAGGUAGCGAAAUUCCUUGUCGGGUAAGUUCCGACCUGCACGAAUGGCGUAAUGAUGGCCAGGCUGUCUCCACCCGAGACUCAGUGAAAUUGAACUCGCUGUGAAGAUGCAGUGUACCCGCGGCAAGACGGAAAGACCCCGUGAACCUUUACUAUAGCUUGACACUGAACAUUGAGCCUUGAUGUGUAGGAUAGGUGGGAGGCUUUGAAGUGUGGACGCCAGUCUGCAUGGAGCCGACCUUGAAAUACCACCCUUUAAUGUUUGAUGUUCUAACGUGGGCCCCUUACCGGGGUUGCGGACAGUGUCUGGUGGGUAGUUUGACUGGGGCGGUCUCCUCCUAAAGAGUAACGGAGGAGCACGAAGGUUGGCUAAUCCUGGUCGGACAUCAGGAGGUUAGUGCAAUGGCAUAAGCCAGCUUGACUGCGAGCGUGACGGCGCGAGCAGGUGCGAAAGCAGGUCAUAGUGAUCCGGUGGUUCUGAAUGGAAGGGCCAUCGCUCAACGGAUAAAAGGUACUCCGGGGAUAACAGGCUGAUACCGCCCAAGAGUUCAUAUCGACGGCGGUGUUUGGCACCUCGAUGUCGGCUCAUCACAUCCUGGGGCUGAAGUAGGUCCCAAGGGUAUGGCUGUUCGCCAUUUAAAGUGGUACGCGAGCUGGGUUUAGAACGUCGUGAGACAGUUCGGUCCCUAUCUGCCGUGGGCGCUGGAGAACUGAGGGGGGCUGCUCCUAGUACGAGAGGACCGGAGUGGACGCAUCACUGGUGUUCGGGUUGUCAUGCCAAUGGCACUGCCCGGUAGCUAAAUGCGGAAGAGAUAAGUGCUGAAAGCAUCUAAGCACGAAACUUGCCCCGAGAUGAGUUCUCCCUGACUCCUUGAGAGUCCUGAAGGAACGUUGAAGACGACGACGUUGAUAGGCCGGGUGUGUAAGCGCAGCGAUGCGUUGAGCUAACCGGUACUAAUGAACCGUGAGGCUUAACCUU
RNAcentral lists this ribosomal RNA (2182 nucleotides) under human gut metagenome. RNAcentral describes it as "bacterial LSU rRNA". It matches the Rfam family "Bacterial large subunit ribosomal RNA", at positions 767 to 2925 of the family's 2925-position model. The record is from RNAcentral.